AGUCAUUGGUCUGUUUGCAGGCCUCUGGCUCCUGCUACACUGUCAAUACUGGAUCCUCACCAGGACUCCUCUUGGAUAUCCUGUUGUUGCCCUGUGUCAUGGAGAUUCUGUGGAUGUUGGGGCACCCAGCAAAUGACUGUGAAUCAGAGAGACUUCCUUCUAGGUUUAUCCCAGGCGUGUUCUGUUGAGAACGGAGCAACUACUGAACCACAGGAAGGUGGCUACUGAUGGAAUCACCAGGGGUGACCGUGGAGAUUGACAAAGAGGACGGGCGAGUAGUUCUGGCUGGAGAGAAUGGUUUCGAAUAAAACCACAGCUCAGGUUUUUGA
This is a non-coding RNA of Rattus norvegicus (Norway rat), 329 nucleotides long. Lineage: Eukaryota; Metazoa; Chordata; Mammalia; Rodentia; Muridae. The record is from RefSeq and is a predicted model, not a curated record.